UACGGAGGGCGCGAGGGUUAAUCGGAAUUACUGGGCGUAAAGCGCGCGUAGGCUGUUGUGUAAGUUGGGGGUGAAAUCCCACGGCUCAACCGUGGAACAGCCCUUGAUACUGCGCGACUUGAAUCCGGGAGAGGGUGGCGGAAUUCCAGGUGUAGGAGUGAAAUCCGUAGAUAUCUGGAGGAACAUCAGUGGCGAAGGCGGCCACCUGGACCGGUAUUGACGCUGAGGCGCGAAAGCGUGGGGAGCAAACAGG
RNAcentral lists this ribosomal RNA (253 nucleotides) under uncultured bacterium. RNAcentral's name for it is "partial 16S ribosomal RNA". It matches the Rfam family "Bacterial small subunit ribosomal RNA", at positions 524 to 776 of the family's 1533-position model. The record is from RNAcentral.